UUGGAGGGCAAGUCUGGUGCCAGCAGCCGCGGUAAUUCCAGCUCCAAUAGCGUAUAUUAAAGUUGUUGCAGUUAAAAAGCUCGUAGUUGAAUUUCGGGGUUAGUAGGUUGGUCAUGCCUCUGGUAUGUACUGGUCUCACUGAUUCCUCCUUCCUUAUGAACCGUAAUGCCAUUAAUUUGGUGUUGCGGGGAAUUUGGACUGUUACUUUGAAAAAAUUAGAGUGUUUAAAGCAAGCUAACGCUUGAAUACAUUAGCAUGGAAUAAUGAAAUAGGACG
This 276-nucleotide ribosomal RNA is filed under the name uncultured Glomus. RNAcentral's name for it is "partial 18S ribosomal RNA". It matches the Rfam family "Eukaryotic small subunit ribosomal RNA", at positions 548 to 829 of the family's 1831-position model. The record is from RNAcentral. Lineage: Eukaryota; Fungi; Glomeromycota; Glomeromycetes; Glomerales; Glomeraceae.